CGUUUAAAGAGUGCGUAAUAGCUCACUAGUCGAGUGACACUGCGCCGAAAAUGUACCGGGGCUAAACAUAUUACCGAAGCUGUGGAUUGUCCUUUGGACAAUGGUAGGAGAGCGUUCUAAGAGCGUCGAAGCAUGAUCGCAAGGACAUGUGGAGCGCUUAGAAGUGAGAAUGCCGGUGUGAGUAGCGAAAGACGGGUGAGAAUCCCGUCCACCGAUUGACUAAGGUUUCCAGAGGAAGGCUCG
Molecule: ribosomal RNA, 243 nt
Filed under: Staphylococcus epidermidis
Lineage: Bacteria; Bacillati; Bacillota; Bacilli; Caryophanales; Staphylococcaceae
Description: partial 23S ribosomal RNA
Rfam family: Bacterial large subunit ribosomal RNA
Source: RNAcentral